This 793-nucleotide ribosomal RNA is filed under the name uncultured bacterium. RNAcentral's name for it is "bacterial SSU rRNA". It matches the Rfam family "Bacterial small subunit ribosomal RNA", at positions 8 to 796 of the family's 1533-position model. The record is from RNAcentral.
AGAGUUUGAUCCUGGCUCAGGAUGAACGCUAGCGGCAGGCUUAAUACAUGCAAGUCGAGGGGCAACAGGGGUAGCAAUACCUGCUGGCGACCGGCAAACGGGUGCGGAACACGUACAGAACCUUCCUUUAAGCGGGGGAUAGCCCAUAGAAAUGUGGAUUAAUACCCCAUAGUAUUGUUGAGUGGCAUCAUUUAAUAAUUAAAGAUUUAUCACUUAAAGAUGGCUGUGCGGCUGAUUAGGUAGUUGGUCGGGGUAACGGCCCACCAAGCCAACGAUCAGUAACUGGUGUGAGAGCACGACCAGUCACACGGGCACUGAGACACGGGCCCGACUCCUACGGGAGGCAGCAGUAAGGAAUAUUGGUCAAUGGACGCAAGUCUGAACCAGCCAUGCCGCGUGAAGGAUGAAGGCCCUCUGGGUUGUAAACUUCUUUUAUCUGGGAAGAAACGCCUGCUUUAUAGCGGGUUUGACGGUACCAGAGGAAUAAGCACCGGCUAACUCCGUGCCAGCAGCCGCGGUAAUACGGAGGGUGCAAGCGUUAUCCGGAUUCACUGGGUUUAAAGGGUGCGUAGGUGGGUUGGUAAGUCAGUGGUGAAAUCUCCGUGCUUAACAUGGAAACUGCCAUUGAUACUACUGAUCUUGAAUUUUCUGGAGGUAAGCGGAAUAUGUCUGUAGCGGUGAAAUGCUUAGAUAUGACAUAGAACACCAAUUGCGAAGGCAGCUUACUACAGGGAUAUUGACACUGAGGCACGAAAGCGUGGGGAUCAAACAGGAUUAGAUACCCUAGUAGUCC